Non-coding RNA from Rattus norvegicus (Norway rat), 9127 nucleotides. Lineage: Eukaryota; Metazoa; Chordata; Mammalia; Rodentia; Muridae. The record is from RefSeq and is a predicted model, not a curated record.
AGCAGGGUUCUGUCUAAGGCUGGGUUCUGUCCUUGUGCUUCAGAGAGGCAGUUGGUUUGUGAGAGAGCAGUUGGACUCAGUUGCUUCUCACAGAUUUGGCCUUUUCCUCAACUUGUUGGAUCUGAACAUACCUUGUAUGUUCCUGGUUUAACACAUGCGAUUAGGUGUUUGACCUUGAAGCAAGCAUCAUGGCCGGCCGCACAGAAGUGAACAUCCUUGAAAAAGAUUUCCGGAUCUUGCUAUCUCUGGGUUCUGGCUCAUAUGGAGAGGUGAAACUUGCCUGUCACCUUCCCACAGGCACAAGGGUGGCUGUCAAGGUCCUUGAUAAAAACAUCAACAGUGUGGCUGACAUCACUUUGGAGGUGGAACUCCUUCAAUCUUUAGAACACAGAAAUAUUGUUCGAUUUUUUCACAUGAUCGACACACUGACAGCAAGUUUCAUUAUCAUGGAAUAUGUGGCAGGAGAGGACCUUGAGAGCUGCCUCAGAUCACUGGGCUGUAUGAAAGAGGAGGAGGCUAGACCUAUUUUCCAGCAGGUGGUGUCGGCGGUUCACUUCCUCCACCAAAGACGCAUUGCACACCGCGAUAUUAAAUUAGAAAACAUUCUGGUCGAUGCGGCAGGAAAUGCAAAGCUUUGUGAUUUUGGUAUGGCAAUUAAAAUCACAGAAGGGCAGAUGCUGGAGGAGAUCUGUGGCUCCUUGCUCUAUUGGGCCCCAGAGAUCUUGGCAAGGAAACCCUAUGAUGGGCUGGCAGGUGACAUGUGGAGCUUGGGCAUCGUCCUCUAUGUUCUGGUCACUGGGCACUUUCCAUAUCUAGAAGCUACCACUGAGGAUAUGCACAGGCUCAUCACUACUACGAUGUGUCCCAUUCCUUACCACUUGUCAAAACCGUGUCACAUCAUCAUUGCACGUUUACUCAUGGUCCCCACAUGGUACAGGUUGACAAUAUAUCAGCUGGUGGAACGACCGUGGCUGGGCCCCAUUCAAGAACAUAGGCUGCUUGCCACAAAAGGAAUACUUCCCAGGAUCGUGAACACAAUGUGCACCAUUGGUUAUACCUGUGAAGAGAUUGUGUCAUCCCUAACACACAGGCAAGUCAAAGGUGAAGUAAUGGCAACCUUUAAUAUUUUAAAAUACCAGCUGAACUGUGGGGACAGCCAUCAACAAGUGGAGAAGCCCUGGGCAAACAGCAGCCCUGCAGGUGCCCUUAGCCUACUUCCAGCUUUGAAGAGGAGAGCGAGUGAACCUGUUCCUUCAACCCGUAUAGAAGCUGGCAAGAGUCACUUUCAGGAGGAUGGUGUGGAAGAAAGAGGCGAGAGUUGCAGAAGGUACCCCAUGCUCACCAAAUACUCCUCCGUGGACCUAAUGCCCUGUUCAGAUGACCCAGUACCAGAAGGAUAUUCUCUGGCAGUUAACAUCACUAAUACUGCUACAGAGGACAUUGCAGUCAACAGAAAUUCUAUGGACAGCCUACGUGGCGAACACUUCUCUCCAUUAUCAGCCCAGGACGGAACAGCCACAGGGUUUGUGAACAUGGGCUUUUUUGAAGAAGAACCAUCCCCAGAGCUUGACAUUUCCAGGGACCAGCCCCAAGUUGGACCCAUAGCUUCUGCUUCUAGGCCACUUAGGGGCUGGAAGCUGAUGAAGAAGCGAAUUUUCCGUUUCCUGGAAGCAUGCUGCUGCUGCUGCUGUCUGCCCUCCCCAUGCUCUUGGGUCUGAACUUUCAGUGUGCAGCUCCUUCAGUUUCCUCCAGCCCCAGCACUGCUUCGUGGACAGAAAGGUGCGCAUAAGGAACAUCUAGCGGGGGAGGCUCCACCUCCCCAGCUCUGGACAUGCUAUAGGACCAGUGCCUACAGCAUCUAAAACAGAGGCCUCUACAGGCAGGAAUGACCUGUCUCAUGACAAGGCCUCUGUCAUGGACAUUGAAGACAGGACUUACUCAGUCCUGAGGAGGACGAGUGUCAUCUUGGUCACUUUAUACCCUCCAUCUUAUUUUGUGACUGUCCUUUGGAAAGGCCUGCAAGAACCAUGGAAGUCCCCUGGAAGGAGGAAAACAGGUGAAAGGAGGUAAGCGGAACAAUUGGCAAAUGGGAUGGAAUGGGAAACAGAAAUGAGAGGGUGUAGUGUGAGGAAUAGAUUCUGUCCUUAGGAACUUCCUGUCCAAAAAGUGCCAUGAAAGAGAUGCUUGUUUUGGACUAGGCAGGAGCUUGGGGCAAUCAAGAGUAGGAAUAGAGUUCCUGAGAGGUACAGCAUGUAACUAGAUCAGCCUGGCCAACGAUGAGGAGAAGAGGGCCUGCUUGGAUGGCUCCUUGCAUGAGUCAAGGCAGACAAGUAGGAAGCUGCCUUGAAGCAUCAUCCUGUUCUAUGCUCCUGAGCUGUCAAGUGGCAGGAAAAAGGUAUAGCCCUGUAAAGUCAGUUGGUUCCUAUCCUGCUCAGGACUCCGGAAGUCCUGUCUUCAAUGUCAAUAACAGGCCCUUCAGGAUUCUUUGUUUCUUUUGAGGGGAAAGUGAAAUGGCAUAGUUGAGCUAUGCCUUUGGUGUUGUAUGUGCAACAAGAGGGACGCAAGUCAGAUAUUGGAGGUGCUGUGUAAAAAUAUACCAGGGCUACAGGUCAUAGCACCCAUCCUCCAAAUAUACAGUUUCAGCUACGGUGUUUAAACCCUUCACCUCCCUGGAGCGCCUGCCCUGCUUGCUAGAUUUCCCUAAGUAGUCACAUGCAGCUGUGACCUGAUAAAAUUCUAUGUCCCUAGUUUUGUCAUGUUUGUGGAAAAAGGCUUUGAGAGCAUCUAGAACAGUGGCCUCUGCAAACAGAGCAGACAUCCAUGUAGUUCUCAGGCUCCACUCCACUCUGUUCACUUCAUCAUACCCAAGCUCCCUUCUGAAGGUUCUGUGGAAGAAGGCCAUUAACCCCGAGUGAACUGUUGGAGCUGCGGAUACACAAAGGGAGAUAAGAGGGAGGAAUAGGGAAAAGAAGAAAUGAGUGGACAUGGAGAGGGACAAAGCAAGAGUGUGCUGGGACACUUCCUGUCAGUGAUGAAGCAGAAAUGAGGGAAUGUGUGGUCUCGGGCAGGAGUUUGAUGAAGAAAGACUAGGAACCAUUGUCCACCGCAGACAAUGUGAGUUGUGAGGACACUGCACACCAUGUGAAGUGGUCCUGCUCUGAUGGUUACUGACAUGUGUCAAGGUACAGAAGUAGGAGUUUGCCCCAAUAAAUACUCUCCUGUUUGGGGCGACUGAUGGAGGGUGUGGCACUGGGGAGUCUGCUGCUCUUGUCUUAUGCAGACUACGUCUCAUCUGGUACCUGUGUCUUUUUCUUCACAGCCUCUUUCAUCCAGGCCUUCCACGUUUCCUCCCAUGUCAUGUUUGAAGAAUCUUUUAUCAUUCUCCCGUCUCAUGGACUGAUUCAUAACUAUCAUUUGAGCUAUGUUUGUUUUGCUCAACAAUGGCAAGUUAAAUAGGUAUUACCGAGCCUGAUGCCAGAUAUUGCCUCUAAGAGGCCAGCAGCCAUGGUACUGGAUUGUAUCUACUGCCAAUCAAGAAUCCAGGCUUAGACAAGAACAAUGGUGAUCAUGGAAUUGUAGAUGUCAGCCCCUGGUGGGGUAUGGAGAAUGGAAUGAAUGUUUCUGUGAGGUGUUUUUCAGGACACAUUUCAGGGAAGGAGAAACUCUCAGGGUUGACCUGGCAACCGAGCUUCACAGAGAAUCCAGAGGCCUAAGGUGAGUGAAUCAUGCAGCUGAAAGUAAGAUGGAGUCCAGUAAGUAUCUGUGUGCUGUAGACCAUGAGUGUCCGAAGCCUGGUCUUCAUAUAGUGAAGGAAGGAACACAGAAGGUGGUUUAUGCCAGCAUCGCCUUCUCCUAGGGAAAUUGUUGACUGUUUACUGACAACCAAUGGGAACAUGAGGGACGACAGAGCUGUGGUAAGGCAGGAACUGCCUGCUCCUUUAUACUUGGCAUCCAGCUUCCAUUCUGCCCAGCUGUCCUGGGCACAUUGACAGCAUUGGUCAAAUCUUCUUCCCAACAGGAUGAUGGGAAGUUUGGCUGUCAAUACUUCCUAGAAUCUGUAUCAUCUGGUGAGUCCUGUGUCAACAGAACAGAAAGCUGAGUUCAUAGUGGUUGAGAGUAAUUUUGACUUUCAUGGCAUCAACCAGGGUCAGCUUGUGUUUCUAUUGCACAUCAUGGAAGCUAGAGCUGUUGAAUGGAUGGGCUUCUUUUUAAUUCUUUAAAGGGGACAGUGAAAUUUCUUGUCCUAACAUUUAGUUUUUAUUUUUUGAGACAAGAACUUAGUACAUAGCAUUUUUUUUGUUCUGUAAAUCAUAAUGUAGAAUUGGUGGUUCCAAAACUCAGUGAGAUCUUCCAUGGCACUGCAUCUUGUAUGCUAGGAUUGUACAUGGGUACAGCAGCAAUAAUAAAUUCUUGUAAUCUUUCCAUGUAGAACCAUUCCAGUCCUGAGCUUUCAUCAUUUGUGCAUGGCCAGGAAUUGAGCUGGAGGCACUGACAUCCAGGGUCGACUAGGAACAGUGAGCAAACCAACCUCAAAUGUAACCUUCAGAAUAGAAGUCUAUGUUCCCAUGGGAGUGGACACCUGAUGGUGGGAAUUCAGUCUAGAAUACUUCUGUGGAGAGAAGCCAGUGGGAUAGGCGUUGUGUGUCAUGCUUGACACCAUUUGGAUAUAGGCCUCAGAGUGUGACUCUCUUACCUUGCCUGCUUUCACAGGAUCCCUUAGCUGCCUUCUGGGCAUAAGUCACAUGACCUCAAAGUGACAACUUCAGGAUACCGUAGACUACCUAGCCAGUCUUGUCGACAGAAUUCUUUCCAUCUGAGCCAAGUGGUCAUAGAUGAAGACAUAAGGUGGGUCACUGAGACAACUGGUACCUGUCAUUUAUUAUUGAAAGCACAGCUUUCACUUCAUGGUCAUCUAUGGUAGAGGAAAGACUCUUGUUCUCCUGAUUCAACACCAAGAUACAGUCUGAUCAGUUGCUGACUUUCAUGACUAGUUUGGAUUUCAUGGGUCCCACAGUGCUGUCUUUGCUUGUCAAACCACUUUGGAUUGAGUUUUAAACCACUGAAACGUGUUGAUCCUGGCAGGCUAAUGUGGAGAUUGGGAUGUAAGAAUCUGAGUUCUGCAUCACCCAAAGCACUGUACAAUACCUCAUGGAACGUCUGUGAUGGGACAGGUAAACUCUCCACAUAAGAAUUGUCGAACAUGUUAGGGAGACCCCGUCCUAUUCCAUAUCCUUAGAGCUUUGUCAUUUAUGUUCAGGUUCCUAACCACCAAACUUCUAUUGAGUGAAAACAAGCCAUUUCUGUCCUUGGGGAAAGCUUGUGACACACAGCACAGUCCUCCUGAUCUUUAUCUGUCUCUGAAAAAUGUCAAAAUUUCAUAAUUGAGGCUGGUUAUGUGGAGUUUUCUUCCUAUAUCAUCUUCAUAUAAUUUUUUCAUUAUAUUUUCUUUUAAAAUUUGUCUUAUUCCAUUGAAACAUUAAAUGUUUUCCAUGGAUGGGUAUACACAUUCAAAAAUCUGAUUUCAUAAUGCCGUUCCCCAGAAGCUUUUAGCUCUUUGUAAACCAUCAUAGUUGAGCUCAAGAUGGACCUCCGAGGAUGAGAAGCACAGGUUGCAGAGGCAGCAUGAACUCCAUUAACUUUUGCUGAAAAUGGAGGGUGGAGAACUAAUGUUUUGCAUGGUUCAUAUAUCCUCCUUGUUUGAAGGGAUGAGCCCUAUAUAUUGUGAGACAUGGGGUUUCCUGCUGUAGAGCGAGAGAACAGAAUGAAGAAUCCUGUAGGAAAUCCAUAGAGUCUGUGUCCAUUUACUGAUUUACCCAAUAUAGAGGCCUCUAUCCAACACAGGACCAGGUAAACCAUCUAUGAGUGUUUUCUCCACAGGAAACCAUAUUUAAGAAGGAAACAUGGCCCAGGCCUACCCUCUCACAGCAUUGUUUUCAGAGUGUACCUUGAGCCAAUACCAUGUCCAAUCUGCCCAUGAAUGUGCCAAUUCUUUGGGCAAAUCUGUACAGAAAUACUACAGCAAUACUCAUUUCUCUGCUUUUCUCAUCAGAUUUCCCACAUGAGGAAAGACCAGCUCCAUCCCUCUUUCCUCAUGGUCCCCUCUCUGAUGUUGCAUUUGCAGCCUCCCUGUAUCCCCGUAUCCCUCCCAUCACAGAAGUCAUAGCUCACUGCAUGCUGCCUCAGUUUUUCUGUAUGCUUAGGAGACUCACGGUGGGGAGUUUUAUCAGGACCGUAUCUGUCUCCUAACAGGGGAGUACCAGCAAUGAAGGGAAAUAGGAAUCCUUUUUAGUAGGAAUACUUGGAUCCUGCUUCCCUUUUGAGGGGGUGGGUUUACGUAGCCAGGAGCACAGUGAUAAUAGAAGAUAAAUUCUUGGAAUCUUGUCUAAACUUAGCACUACAUGUUAGCAACCAUGAGGAUGCCCUGGAAGGGUUCCUUCAAUCCCAAGAUAAGUGAUGGAAAGACAGAGGGAGAUAGUGAGAGAUAGAGACACAGACACUAAGGAGUGGCUCUCAGGGAACAUGAGAUAACUUAGUGUAGGCGAUUCUCUGUACUAAAACAGUUGAAGAGGAAACUUUGAAACAAAGAGUGCAAACAUCUUCACUCACAUCUAUGUCCUGACAUUCAUACUGCCACUGGACUUUUACUGCAUUUGUAUUGGCUUCCAGAGCUAGGGUACAAAUAACCUACCAGAAAUGAAAGAUAGAGUUUCAAAUUAGCUCAAAACUCAGGAACAGGAUCUGACUCAGGAAGACAGAUUGUUAAAAAUGCAGGAGAACCUAUCGAGACUCACUGACCCUCCCCCUAUCACCAGAUAUGAGUAAAUGAGUAAUGAGUUCUGUACUGCCCCUGUGAUAGAUACUUGUUCAAGUCCCGGUUGUGCCCUCCAGCCAUUGAGUCCUGCAGAGAGUAUUCCAGGAAACAGGCUGGCCAAGCCUAAGCAGAUGUGUUUCAGAUGCAGAUGCCUCAUCAACACUGACAAACAUUUACCCUAAAGGACAAUCAAGAUCUGUUCUCAGGAGAAUGCUUGCCCUUUCCCCUCAUUUAAGUCCUAGAGUCUUAAGAACAAUCUUGUAAUUUUGAGAGUUUUCCCUUGUGACAUUUUUGGUAUUUCCUUUUGACAUCCUCUCAUCUCCUGGAGUUUGUGACUUCUUCCUUUAAAAAGCCCUUCUCCCAGCCACUCAGGGUCAACACCUCUGUCUCCUGCAUGUGAUACGUGUCGGCCCAGAGAUCUCCUUAGUAGAUCUCCAUAAUAAACCUCGCCUUUGUGUAUACAUCCAAAAUGGUCUCUCUGUGUCUGGGGUCUGCGACUUCUCGAGACUUGAGUAAGGGUCUCCAUUCGGGGAUCUUUCAGAAGAAGAUAGCCAAGAGGCAAUUGGUCAUUUUUUGCUUCGCCCAUAGCUGGUCUGCUUUUAGUGACCACUAAUGUAGUCUUCAAUACUGAUGCACCUUAUGGAAAGCCAGACCAGAGCAAAAAAGACAUUAGUAAGGUAGCCAUGUCACGAAAUCCCAGGAGAGACAGCAGAAAUGAAUGUUUGGCCCCACCAUUUGCCAUUGAUUCCAAGUAUGUGAAUUUCCCAGUGCAGAGUUGAUGCCCAAGAGACCAGAAGAGUAUAAAGUGGACAUUUUGUGUUGCAGCCACUAGAGGGAGCACGUUGCUGCCUGUUACCUGAGAGAAGAGAAGUCAGCUCUUUAGGGCCAAGCUUACAGACUCAACACCUUCCUUUCCACACAGCCUGCCUGAGAGAGACACCUGGACAGGCGUAGUCAACACAAGCUAUUUCAACCAGGACCUAUCCAAACAUGACAUUACAGGCCAGUAAUACUCAUCUCCCAGAGAAGAAAACUGAGUCCCAGAGAUGAUCCGUAGCUUGCUCUUUUGUACAAUGUAUGUUUGGCUCAUAUACUAUAGAAACCCAACCAGAUAUUUGACUCAGACAUAAUGACCACAAGCACACUGACUUCCUUGUAGUCUUACUGUGUACACUACAGUCACUGGCCAUGUUCUGUCUUCUCUAAUCUGCAGGUUCUGCUGAACAAGAUCUGUGGUCAAAGAUCCUUUCACCGUCCUUGCAUUCUGACUCAUCUAGAAAAUUGUUAAAGAAGAUGGUAUAGGAAAUGCAGUGUCCAAUCCACAUAGAAUGUUGGGAAACUGCUUAAUUCCUUUCUCCUAGUUCCUGUUUAUGGGACAGAUGCAGGCAAACAAGCCAGACCAGUCCCUGAAAACAUUAUUUCCUGAAGAGAACCAUUGAGUUCUUUAUCACGUAAGUCACAUAAGGGGAAAAUAAACAUUAUCCCUGCUUCAUUGGGUACUGAAGUCCACCCAAAAUGAACAGGCUGUGUGAUCUGAAUAGUCACAAGUCUUAGGUAGGACAGUGAAUGUUUCUGGCAACAUCAUCAUGUAUCUUCAAUGAGCCUUCUCUAGUAGAUAGACGUCUGUCCACAUCUUGAAACAUGUACCCAGAAAAUUCCUGCCUCAGGAUGUGGCACACAUUACUAUGACACUGGCUGUGGAGAGCAUCUCCCACCUACACGUCUCAUGAAUGAGUAUCAUGUCAUUGCCUGAGAUCUAGAGGAGCUCAGAGGCUUCACACAACACCAGGAGGACAUGCUGUGGAAGACAAUGAAAUGUUUUCCCUUCUACCAUCCAACUACACACAACCACUCCACAUUUCCAACCAUAUCUGGGCACUCUACAGGAGGAUCUCUUCGUGAAACCACCCACUGGGUAGAUAUAGCCGAUUCACUGCCCAUCUUAGAUAGUUUGCAUUUUGGCUGUGAACAACUCUCACCUAUGCUUCUCUAUUCUCACAGAUAUUCAAGGAAUCACUCCUGAGCAGAUGAAGUAUGUGUCUCCGCAGAGCCUGAGCAAGUGAAUGUGCCUCCAUGUCUGUUGUCUAGACUGGAUCUCCUGAGAAGGCCAGUGGCCAUGGACCCAAGGACCACUUACAGGAAGAUGGUGAAAUUGAGGGCGUUCUGUUGGGCCAUGUCUUAGUGGUGUUGGGUAGAUAAUAUUCACAGUCAAAAAGUACUAAAGUGUUUCAGUACAAUUCCAAAAUCAGCUUUGAAUUGGUAUUCAGAACACUUUCACACAUGGCUGAGAGAAAUACAAAUUGACCUGAACCCUUA